GAAUAUACUCAAAUUCCAAAACAUUGAGAUGGAUCUGAUCUUGGAAGCUAAGCAGGGUCGGGCCUGGUUAGUACUUGGAUGGAAGACUGACUGGGCAUAUCGGAUGUUAUAGGCU
Molecule: ribosomal RNA, 115 nt
Filed under: Microcebus murinus (gray mouse lemur)
Lineage: Eukaryota; Metazoa; Chordata; Mammalia; Primates; Cheirogaleidae
Source: RNAcentral